AUGAACGCUGGCGGCGUGCCUAAUACAUGCAAGUCGAGCGAACAGAUGAGGAGCUUGCUCCUCUGACGUUAGCGGCGGACGGGUGAGUAACACGUGGAUAACCUACCUAUAAGACUGGGAUAACUUCGGGAAACCGGAGCUAAUACCGGAUAAUAUAUUGAACCGCAUGGUUCAAUAGUGAAAGACGGUUUUGCUGUCACUUAUAGAUGGAUCCGCGCCGCAUUAGCUAGUUGGUAAGGUAACGGCUCACCAAGGCAACGAUGCGUAGCCGACCUGAGAGGGUGAUCGGCCACACUGGAACUGAGACACGGUCCAGACUCCUACGGGAGGCAGCAGUAGGGAAUCUUCCGCAAUGGGCGAAAGCCUGACGGAGCAACGCCGCGUGAGUGAUGAAGGUCUUCGGAUCGUAAAACUCUGUUAUUAGGGAAGAACAAAUGUGUAAGUAACUAUGCACGUCUUGACGGUACCUAAUCAGAAAGCCACGGCUAACUACGUG
RNAcentral lists this ribosomal RNA (496 nucleotides) under uncultured bacterium. RNAcentral's name for it is "partial 16S ribosomal RNA". It matches the Rfam family "Bacterial small subunit ribosomal RNA", at positions 29 to 507 of the family's 1533-position model. The record is from RNAcentral.